Molecule: small nuclear RNA, 151 nt
Filed under: Carlito syrichta (Philippine tarsier)
Lineage: Eukaryota; Metazoa; Chordata; Mammalia; Primates; Tarsiidae
Description: U2 spliceosomal RNA (ENSTSYG00000019988.2)
Rfam family: U2 spliceosomal RNA
About the family: U2 is a small nuclear RNA (snRNA) component of the spliceosome (involved in pre-mRNA splicing). Complementary binding between U2 snRNA (in an area lying towards the 5' end but 3' to hairpin I) and the branchpoint sequence (BPS) of the intron results the bulging out of an unpaired adenosine, on the BPS, which initiates a nucleophilic attack at the intronic 5' splice site, thus starting the first of two transesterification reactions that mediate splicing.
Source: RNAcentral
UGUCUUAUCGCUUCUCAUCAGUUUAAUAUCUGAUAUAUCCUCUAUCUGAGGACAAUGUUAAGUGGAUUUUCAGAACAAGGAGAUAGAAAAGGAGCUUGCUUUAUCCACUCCACACACCCACCUGGUAUCACAGUACUUCCAGGAGUGGUGC